Molecule: ribosomal RNA, 1362 nt
Filed under: Triticum aestivum (bread wheat)
Lineage: Eukaryota; Viridiplantae; Streptophyta; Magnoliopsida; Poales; Poaceae
Description: partial small subunit ribosomal RNA
Source: RNAcentral
AUGCGCUGCCAGGCGGUGUACGCGUCGGCCGCGCCGCCCAUGAUGAGCUCGAGGAGGGAAUCCACCAGCUUGCAUUUUUUGCUAGUUAUUUUGUUUCCAAAAAGGUCUUAUGGAUACUACAUGUCUAAUGCUGGCACCGAAGCAAUGGAUCUUAAUUUUGUCUCUUGUGAAAUCGAGGAAGGGGAUUCUUAUGUGUAUGACGAAGAUGAAGGCUGCUAUGUGAAUGGCGUUGAAGGGCCUGAUUAUGAAUUUGAUGAGAUUGACUUAUAUCAACAACUGGAUUAUAAAUUUGACGAUUUAUAUCUGCCUCCAGGUGUGGAGGCUAGUGUACCAUUGGUGCAGAAAGCUGUAACUGAUGACGGGCCUGACAAUUUUAAGUCAAUGUCAGAAAUAGAGGAUGAAAUUGGCAAGAAAUACAAGUUUUUUAAACAGUUUGACAUUAUUAAAGAUUUCUCUGAUCAUCAUUAUGCCAGUAAUCCUGUUGGAAAGACAGGGAAAGAGUGGACAAAAAGAAUUCAGCAUGAUUGGAAACUCCUGGAGAACAAUUUACCAGCGUCCAUAUAUGUUCGUGUUUCGGAAAAUCGAAUGGACCUUCUCAGGGCUGUGAUCAUUGGGCCUCAGGGAACACCCUACCACGAUGGCCUUUUCUUCUUUGAUGCUCAAUUCACUGUUAGUUAUCCAGCGACUCCUCCAGUGGUAUACUAUCAUUCUGGAGGACUUCGGCUUAAUCCAAAUCUGUAUGAUUGUGGAACAGUCUGCCUUAGCCUCCUGGGAACCUGGCAUGGUAAUGGCUGUGAGAACUGGAACUCAGCUCACUCAAGCAUGCUACAAGUGCUGAUAUCCAUUCAAGGUCUCAUAUUGAAUGAAAAGCCAUACUUCAAUGAGCCAGGAUACGAGACCGAAGUCAACGAUGCUAAUGGACAGAGUAGGUCCUUGGAGUAUAAUGAUACAGCAUUUCAGUACUCGUGCAGAACAAUGUUGUACUCACUUCGUAGGCCUCCACAGCACUUUGAAGAUCUUGUCGCCGGCCACUUUCGUGAACGUGGCCAUGCCAUUCUGGCUGCAUGCAAAUAUUACAUGGAGGGUAACGAAGUUGGGUCUGUUGUUCCUGAUGAGGACGAUGAGGGCAAGGAGCUGGAAAAUGCAAAUGCUGAAGGAUCCAGCAGCAGCAACGCAGUGAAGCCAAAGAAGCGUGCAGGUGCAGGUCGACGUACCCCAUCCUUCAAUGCCGACACGAAGGUUCUGUUUGAAGAGCUCCUGGUGGAAUUCAAUUUGAAGGGUGCUGACACCAAGAAGUUCUGUGUUGAGAAGUCAAAGAAAACGCGUCAAAAAAUGAAGAAGAGCCAGCCUGCUGCUGCUUGA